RNAcentral lists this ribosomal RNA (253 nucleotides) under uncultured bacterium. RNAcentral describes it as "partial 16S ribosomal RNA". It matches the Rfam family "Bacterial small subunit ribosomal RNA", at positions 524 to 776 of the family's 1533-position model. The record is from RNAcentral.
UACGGAGGGUGCAAGCGUUAAUCGGAAUUACUGGGCGUAAAGAGUGCGUAGGUGGUUGAAUAAGUUAUCUGUGAAAUCCCUGGGCUUAACCUGGGCAGGUCAGAUGAUACUGUUUGACUCGAGUAUGGGAGAGGGUAGUGGAAUUUCCGGUGUAGCGGUGAAAUGCGUAGAGAUCGGAAGGAACACCAGUGGCGAAGGCGGCUACCUGGCCUAAUACUGACACUGAGGCACGAAAGCGUGGGGAGCAAACAGG